AGGGACUUCCCAAGGCUUUGCUGUGAGGCAUUCACAGCUGUGGUGCCCCAUACACUCCCAGCUGAGGACACUCAAUGGAGAAGCUCAUGGAUACAGGAGUCCUAACACACUUCCAAGGGCUUCCAGCUGGGGCUCCUUUCUCACCUGUACACCCCAUAGCCCCAGAGGCUCCCAUUACACUCCAGGACCCUGAUAAUGACUGCAAACAGCCAGGAGGAAACUGAACAACCCUAGUGUGAGUGUAAUUGCCUUCAAAGCUAGCAGUGCCAGCAUGAAAGACUGUUUUCAGUAUGAACAGCCUUUCCACCAUCACAUGCCUCACCCAGGUGCACAUCUUUUGCAAAGGCCCAAGGGACUGAAACAGCUCUGCAAGGCCUUAAGAGAAGGGAAAUUGUUAUCAGAGUCUCCUGUUGACUCCACAGCCCACCAAGGAGGCUGCUGGCUUCUGCAGGCCGUCCCCCAUCUGUUGGAAUAGCAGGAAGUUUUGCGUUAGCAAUAAAAAAUACAAAAAGCUGGAGUCCAACUGGUGACUGAAGUCUGGUGUCAGGCUCCGCUGCGGAGAUAUCACAGCUGCAUACAGUGCCUGCUCUCAAAGAGGUGCUUAUUAAACAUUUGCCUUGGGUUUAUUUUCCCCGUUUGCUAAAACCAAACAUUCACAACAAGAUUCUGUAAGGGAGGGCUGCAAAUCAGAA
Neopsephotus bourkii (Bourke's parrot) is the source of this 692-nucleotide long non-coding RNA. RefSeq lists it as uncharacterized. The transcript is spliced from 2 exons. Lineage: Eukaryota; Metazoa; Chordata; Aves; Psittaciformes; Psittacidae. The record is from RefSeq and is a predicted model, not a curated record.